UACGUAGGGUGCAAGCGUUGUCCGGAAUUAUUGGGCGUAAAGAGCUCGUAGGCGGUCUGUUGCGUCGGCUGUGAAAACCCGGGGCUCAACCCCGGGCCUGCAGCCGAUACGGGCAGACUAGAGUUCGGCAGGGGAGACUGGAAUUCCUGGUGUAGCGGUGAAAUGCGUAGAUAUCAGGAGGAACACCGAUGGCGAAGGCAGGUCUCUGGGCUGACACUGACGCUCAUGCACGAAAGCGUGGGGAGCAAACAGG
RNAcentral lists this ribosomal RNA (253 nucleotides) under uncultured bacterium. RNAcentral describes it as "partial 16S ribosomal RNA". It matches the Rfam family "Bacterial small subunit ribosomal RNA", at positions 524 to 776 of the family's 1533-position model. The record is from RNAcentral.